This 253-nucleotide ribosomal RNA is filed under the name uncultured bacterium. RNAcentral's name for it is "partial 16S ribosomal RNA". It matches the Rfam family "Bacterial small subunit ribosomal RNA", at positions 524 to 776 of the family's 1533-position model. The record is from RNAcentral.
GACCGAGGAGGCCACCGUUGUUCGGAAUCAUUGGGCUUAAAGCGCGCGUAGGCGGGCUUGUAAGUGUCUUGUGAACUCCCCCGGCUCACCCGGGGAACUGGAGGGCAAACUGCAAGACUUGAGGUCGGUAGAGGCGCCUGGAGCCCUAGGUGGAGCGGUGAAAUGCGUAGAUAUCUAGGGGAACGCCGGAGGCGAAAGCGGGGCGCUGGGCCGAUUCUGACGCUGAUGCGCGAAAGCGUGGGGAGCAAACAGG